This is a non-coding RNA of Vicia faba (fava bean), 324 nucleotides long. The record is from the annotation of a GenBank genome assembly. NCBI's taxonomy places the organism in Eukaryota, Viridiplantae, Streptophyta, Magnoliopsida, Fabales, Fabaceae.
AUGGAUUCAAUUCCGAAGCCGUAUCGAACAUGGAUUACGGGUGCUGCGGUUGUGUUAGGUGGAAUUGCAACGCUGAACGUGGCUUCUACGCUUACACUCAAAGCGCUUCAUGUUGUGGCUGAGAAUAAACGGAAAAAGAUAGCGUUGCCGUGUAUGGUUUGUAGAGGGAAGGGGUUUUAUAUAUGCAAAUUGUGUAAUGGGAAUUCAACUAUUGCUUGGUCUCCGAUGUAUGAUCCUAUUGCGAUUAACCCAUGUGUUUGUCCUACUUGCGAUGGAAACAGGGUACAACGUUGUCUGAAUUGUCUGGGAAAAGGCUAUGACUAA